RNAcentral lists this ribosomal RNA (433 nucleotides) under uncultured bacterium. RNAcentral describes it as "partial 16S ribosomal RNA". It matches the Rfam family "Bacterial small subunit ribosomal RNA", at positions 29 to 507 of the family's 1533-position model. The record is from RNAcentral.
AACGAACGCUGGCGGCAUGCCUAACACAUGCAAGUCGAACGAGACCUUCGGGUCUAGUGGCGCACGGGUGCGUAACGCGUGGGAACCUGCCCUUAGGUUCGGAAUAACUCCCCGAAAGGGGUGCUAAUACCGGAUCAUGUCUUCGGACCAAAGAUUUAUCGCCUUUGGAUGGGCCCGCGUUGGAUUAGCUAGUUGGUAGGGUAAAAGCCUACCAAGGGGACGAUCCAUUGCUGGUCUGAGAGGAUGAUCAGCCACACUGGGACUGAGACACGGCCGAGACUCCUACGGGAGGCAGCAGUGGGGAAUAUUGGACAAUGGGGGAAAGCCUGAUGCAGCAAUGCCGCGUGAGUGAUGAAGGCCUUAGGGUUGUAAAGCUCGUUUACCCGGGAUGAUAAUGACAGUACCGGGAGAAUAAGCUCCGGCUAACUCCGUG